This 485-nucleotide ribosomal RNA is filed under the name uncultured bacterium. RNAcentral's name for it is "bacterial SSU rRNA". It matches the Rfam family "Bacterial small subunit ribosomal RNA", at positions 29 to 507 of the family's 1533-position model. The record is from RNAcentral.
AUUGAACGCUAGCGGCAUGCCUUACACAUGCAAGUCGAACGGCAGGCACGGGGGCAACCCUGGUGGCGAGUGGCGAACGGGUGAGUAAUGCAUCGGAACGUGCCCAUCGAUGGGGGAUAACUGCGCGAAAGCGUUGCUAAUACCGCAUACGACCUACGGGUGAAAGCAGGGGACCGCAAGGCCUUGCGUCGAUGGAGCGGCCGAUGCCGGAUUAGCUAGUUGGUGAGGUAAAGGCUCACCAAGGCGACGAUCCCGUAGCUGGUCUGAGAGGACGACCAGCCACACUGGGACUGAGACACGGCCCAGACUCCUACGGGAGGCAGCAGUGGGGAAUCUUGGACAAUGGGCGAAAGCCUGAUCCAGCAAUGCCGCGUGUGGGAAGAAGGCCUCGGGUUGUAAACCACUUUUGGCGGGAAAGAAAUGGUCUGUGCUAAUACCACGGAUUGAUGACGGUACCCGCAGAAUAAGCACCGGCUAACUACGUG